This 253-nucleotide ribosomal RNA is filed under the name uncultured bacterium. Its description in RNAcentral is "partial 16S ribosomal RNA". It matches the Rfam family "Bacterial small subunit ribosomal RNA", at positions 524 to 776 of the family's 1533-position model. The record is from RNAcentral.
UACGGGGGGAGCAAGCGUUGUUCGGAAUCACUGGGCGUAAAGGGAGUCUAGGCGGUUUGGUAAGUGGGAUGUGAAAUCCCCGGGCUCACCCCGGGACCUGCAUCCCAAACUGCUGAGCUUGAGUACAGGAGAGGGUGGGGGAAUUCCAGGUGUAGCGGUGAAAUGCGUAGAUAUCAGGAGGAACACCAAUAGCGAAGGCAGCUCGCUGGGACGUUACUGACACUGAGGCGCGAAAGCGUGGGGAGCGAACAGG